Lactuca sativa (garden lettuce) is the source of this 568-nucleotide long non-coding RNA. RefSeq lists it as uncharacterized. Lineage: Eukaryota; Viridiplantae; Streptophyta; Magnoliopsida; Asterales; Asteraceae. The record is from RefSeq and is a predicted model, not a curated record.
GUACGAUUCUGAAAAUUGACAUUUUUGGUGGUUGUGGGUGUUCUUGAUUUCCCGGCGGUGGUUGACGGCGGUGGAUGGGGUUCUUGGUUUCCCGGAUUUAAUCAAAGCAUAAAGAAACAGGGUAAACGGUGGAGUGCAAGAUUAAUAUGGUGUUUUUGUAAAUGUCAUCUGCAAAAAUGUAGCCUCCAGAAUUUGAGAGGAGAUCAUGAGUUUAAUCUUUAGAUACCAACUCGCCGAUCAAAAAAAUCCAUUACUUUUUGUACAAAUUCUUCUUUGGAAAUAUUGCAGUCUUUCAAGCUGUGGCGGAGUUAAAGUUAAAAUAAAGGGGUAACACAAACUUGUCGGCCGAAGAUGGUCGCCGACGACAAGCGACAAUAGUGAAUGACGGAGGUUAAAGCACCAACGAAUCAGUGGAGCAACAACUUGAGAAGUCGGUGAUCGAUCACCAUUUUGUUUCUAUUCCACGUUCAUUUUUUUUAAAUAUCAAAUGGUAUAAGAUUUGGACAGUGGGAUAUUUCUUAUUUCAUAAAAAGAUUGAGCUUAAACAUUUUGGACCGUUUUAAAAGAA